This 492-nucleotide ribosomal RNA is filed under the name uncultured bacterium. RNAcentral describes it as "partial 16S ribosomal RNA". It matches the Rfam family "Bacterial small subunit ribosomal RNA", at positions 28 to 507 of the family's 1533-position model. The record is from RNAcentral.
GAUGAACGCUCGCUACAGGCUUAACACAUGCAAGUCGAGGGGAAACGACAUCGAAAGCUUGCUUUUGAUGGGCGUCGACCGGCGCACGGGUGAGUAACGCGUAUCCAACCUGCCCAUCACUUGGGAAUAACCUUGCGAAAGUAAGACUAAUACCCAAUGAUAUCCCACGAAGGCAUCGGAAUGGGAUUAAAGAUUUAUCGGUGAUGGAUGGGGAUGCGUCUGAUUAGCUUGUUGGCGGGGUAACGGCCCACCAAGGCAACGAUCAGUAGGGGUUCUGAGAGGAAGGUCCACCACAUUGGAACUGAGACACGGUCCAAACUCCUACGGGAGGCAGCAGUGAGGAAUAUUGGUCAAUGGGCGAGAGCCUGAACCAGCCAAGUAGCGUGCAGGAAGACGGCCCUAUGGGUUGUAAACUGCUUUUAUAAGGGAAUAAAGUGGGUCACGUGUGACUUUUUGCAUGUACCUUAUGAAUAAGGACCGGCUAAUUCCGUG